Molecule: ribosomal RNA, 773 nt
Filed under: uncultured Neocallimastigales
Lineage: Eukaryota; Fungi; Neocallimastigomycota; Neocallimastigomycetes; Neocallimastigales
Description: partial large subunit ribosomal RNA
Rfam family: Eukaryotic large subunit ribosomal RNA
Source: RNAcentral
AUCUCUGUAGAGUCUGCAUAUCAAUAAGCGGAGGAAAAGAAACUAACAAGGAUUCCCCUAGUAACGGCGAGUGAAGCGGGAAGAGCUCGAAUUUGAAAUCUUAAAGGGUUUCCCUUUACGAAUUGUAGUUUAAAGAAGUGUUUUCUGUUGAGGUUUUGGUAAAAGUUCUUUGGAAUAGGACAUCAUAGAGGGUGAGAAUCCCGUAUUUGACCAUUACUUUCAGCUUUGUGAUACACUUUCAAAGAGUCGGAUUGUUUGGGAAUGCAGUCCAAAAUGGGUGGUAAAUUUCAUCUAAAGCUAAAUAUUGGCGAGAGACCGAUAGCGAACAAGUACCGUGAGGGAAAGAUGAAAAGAACUUUGAAAAGAGAGUUAAACAGUACGUGAAAUUGUCAAAAGGGAAGCGUUUGACACCAGUGUUGUUUUUCUGAAAAUCAAUUAAAGAACUGUUUAUGCUAAGUUGUUUAGACUUUAUCAGCUAACUGUUUAGUUUUGAGCUUUUCUUUAAUGCACUUUUCAGUUAACAAGUCAACAUCAAUUUCUUUUGCUGUAAAAAAGCUUGAGGAAGGUGGCUUGAGAUUCGUCUUAAGUGUUUAUAGCCUCUUGCCUAUGCAGUCGGAGAGAUUGAGGUCUGCAGCGUAGAUCCUUCGGGGCUAAAUGCAUUUGUGCUAAGUUAUAGCAUUUUAUAGACAACUUGUUGACUAUGAUUUGUCUUGUAGCUUACUCGCUUAUGUUAUUUUACCUACGCUUAGGAUGUUGACGAUCAGCUGAGCGCG